GCCAGUGUGCCGUAGUGGUUUGAGUGCUGGACUUGGACUCUGGAGACCAGGGUUCAAUUCCCCACUCAGCCA
Molecule: non-coding RNA, 72 nt
Organism: Phrynosoma platyrhinos (Desert horned lizard)
Lineage: Eukaryota; Metazoa; Chordata; Lepidosauria; Squamata; Phrynosomatidae
Source: the annotation of a GenBank genome assembly